Non-coding RNA from Vigna umbellata (rice bean), 1093 nucleotides. NCBI's taxonomy places the organism in Eukaryota, Viridiplantae, Streptophyta, Magnoliopsida, Fabales, Fabaceae. The record is from RefSeq and is a predicted model, not a curated record.
UGUAAUGGUGCCGCUGUUGUCAGUGUCCAUCCCCUUGAACAUCUGCUUCAAUCCCAUGAUUUCUUCCUCUGAUAGGCAGCCCGCGAUGACCUAUAUUCGUAUUCAUAUGCGAAUCAGUGGAAAAUACAGACCAGGCGAAAUGGAUGGCCAUGGAUCGCUUGUAAAGUCAAUAUGACCUCGCAGAAUUGCCUUGAAUAUUCCAUUUUCGGAUUCUGUCAAAAUCAUGUUUUGGUUUCAGUGUCAUGCAGAUAUACGAUCGAUUUUAUAGUGUUUUCUAGAGGUAGCUUUAUGAUUGAGUGAAAGAAUAUAACCUGCCCAAAAUGGUGGAACACCAGAUAGAAGAAUGUAUAGCAUGACACCAAUACUCCAAAUGUCAACUUCUGGACCAUAUUUCCUCUUCAAGACCUCUGGUGCAAUGUAAUAUGCGCUUCCAACAAUGUCCUUAAACAAUUCUCCUGUCAAAAGGAUUCCAUUGUUUAGCAGAAAUCUUCCCAAACAGAAGUUCUAUCAAGACGAGGCACAGAUAAAUGUGACUGAUAUAUAUAAUCUCAGAGAUCCCAGAAACAAUUGUUACAGAGAUCCCAGAAAUUGAAUUGAAUGAAAGCUGAUAAGAAUUGAAAGAGAAGCAGAAGAAGAGAGAAGGGUGAGAUGAUGAUGAUUAUUUACCUUGCUUGUAAAAAACUGAUAAACCGAAAUCGGUUGCCUUGAGAGGUGCAUUUUCCUCCUUGCUGGAGAGAAGGAAAUUUUCAGGCUUAAGAUCUCUGUGAAUGACUCCCAUGGAAUGGCAGGUGUGGACAAUCUGCACGAUGGUUCUCAAGAGGGAAGCUGCUGCACGUUCAGUGUAAUGUCCCUUUGCAAUGAUGCGAUCAAAGAGCUCACCCCCUGCACACAACUCCAUAACCAAAUGAACAGAUUGUUUGUCUUCAAAAACACUGACAAGCUCCACAAUGUUGGGCUGCCCUGAGAGAUGGCAUAUUGCUUUCCUGUGCUCUUGUGUGUGCACAAAUGUGUGACACCAAACUGGCCUCUCCCCAGCUCUUUCCCCAUGCUGUAAGUACUUCUAACAUCCUCCAUGGGCCUUCCAAGAACAGGC